This 445-nucleotide ribosomal RNA is filed under the name uncultured bacterium. Its description in RNAcentral is "bacterial SSU rRNA". It matches the Rfam family "Bacterial small subunit ribosomal RNA", at positions 354 to 796 of the family's 1533-position model. The record is from RNAcentral.
GUAGGGAAUAUUGGGCAAUGGAGGAAACUCUGACCCAGCCAUGCCGCGUGAAGGAUGAAUGUCCUUUGGAUUGUAAACUUCUUUUAUAAGGGAAGAAACCUACGGAUUUAUCUGUAGCUGACGGUACCUUACGAAUAAGCACCGGCUAACUCCGUGCCAGCAGCCGCGGUAAUACGGAGGGUGCAAGCGUUAUCCGGAUUCACUGGGUUUAAAGGGUGCGUAGGCGGGUUGGUAAGUCAGUGGUGAAAGCCCCAAGCUCAACUUGGGAACUGCCAUUGAUACUGCCAGUCUUGAGUGUGGUUGAAGUGGGCGGAAUAUGACAUGUAGCGGUGAAAUGCUUAGAUAUGUCAUAGAACACCGAUUGCGAAGGCAGCUCACUAAACCAUUACUGACGCUGAGGCACGAAAGCGUGGGGAGCGAACAGGAUUAGAAACCCCUGUAGUCC